UACGUAGGGAGCAAGCGUUGUCCGGAAUCAUUGGGCGUAAAGCGCGCGUAGGUGGCUUCGUAAGUCCGUUGUGAAAGUCAAAGGCUCAACCUUUGAAUGCCGAUGGAUACUGCGGAGCUAGAGUACGGAAGAGGCGAGUGGAAUUCCUGGUGUAGCGGUGGAAUGCGCAGAUAUCAGGAGGAACACCAAUAGCGAAGGCAGCUCGCUGGGACGUUACUGACACUAAGGCGCGAAAUCGUCGGGAGCGAACAGG
RNAcentral lists this ribosomal RNA (253 nucleotides) under uncultured bacterium. Its description in RNAcentral is "partial 16S ribosomal RNA". It matches the Rfam family "Bacterial small subunit ribosomal RNA", at positions 524 to 776 of the family's 1533-position model. The record is from RNAcentral.